Long non-coding RNA from Actinia tenebrosa (Australian red waratah sea anemone), 354 nucleotides. RefSeq lists it as uncharacterized. The record is from RefSeq and is a predicted model, not a curated record. Lineage: Eukaryota; Metazoa; Cnidaria; Anthozoa; Actiniaria; Actiniidae.
CUUCAUGUGAGAGACUACAUAUUAAUCAGUUUAUAAAACGUAUUCUAUUAUGUAUGAUUCAAAUGUUCUUAUUAUGGCGGAGGAGGUUGAUGUUAUCAUCAUAGCGCUGGGAUAAGUGGUCUUCGUGCAGCCAAAAGUCUAAAAGACAAAUAUGGACUCAGGGUACUCGGCCUGGAGGCAACUGAGGGAUAGAGUUGGUGGAAGAACUUUGAGUAAAGCCUCAUGUGGUUUCCCCUGUGGUUUUCAAGCUACUCACCAGGUGGUAACAGAUGGAAUAUACUGGUUUGCAUAAAGAAAGAACAGAACGGGAUUGGGUGAAAUCCACAACUCAUCCAACUUAUUUGCCAUGCCAAC